This 928-nucleotide long non-coding RNA is filed under the name Mytilus galloprovincialis (Mediterranean mussel). Lineage: Eukaryota; Metazoa; Mollusca; Bivalvia; Mytilida; Mytilidae. The record is from RNAcentral.
UAAAAAUUAAAAUAUAUAUAUAUACUCACAUUGAGAUAUAUCUCACUAGCUUCUUCUAUAUCACUUUCUAAUGUCUGUAAUGAUAUGUAUAUGUAAAUACAUAGAAAUGAUGAAAUAAUUGUCUCCUUUUUAAAGGAAAUUAACAUAGUGAGAUAUACGUCUAGGUAAAAGAAGUAAUCUAUGCCAAACAUUUAAUUUAUAAAUUUUUAAGAAAAAAAAUAUCUUUAUUUCAUUAGUUUUAAAUUGCAUUUUUCUCAUGUUUAAACAAUAUAUUUUGAUUAUGAUUAUUGUAAUAUUAAGAAUUAUAUUUAUGAGAGAUAUGCGUUAUGCUUACAUCUUUUUGUCCACACGCACCAUUGCUUGCGCUGCUUUUACAAGCAGCACUAUGUUCCACCUCCAUUGCUUCCUGUUCAUUAGAUGAUGUUAAAUCAAUAACACGAUUCUAAAAAGAAAAAGAAAAUAAAUAAACAGUUAAGAUAAUGUUUACGGUGAGGCGUCCGUUUGGCUGUGCGGGAUGUGUUAAGUUCGCAGUCACGUCCGGUCAGAUUGGUGACGUUAAAUUCGAUGCCUCGUGUAAAGAAAGUGCCACGCUCUUUGCACGUUAAGAACUCUUGCAACAACUCUUUGAGGGGUCCGUAGGUGGCCUGUUGCAAGGCAAAAUUUCUGUCCCUGUCCAAUAUACCCUCAUUUUCCAGUGCCAGUCCAAAUUUCCCCGACCAUCAUCCCAGAUAGCCUCUAAUAUUUCAAGACCUACCUAUAGUAUUUAUUGUGAACUUGAAAAAAAGUUUUUCUUUCUUUCUCUUUGUAAAUUCUUGAUAUUAUUUUCUUUCUUUUCUCCGUAGGUGGCCUGUUGCAAGGCAAAAUUUCUGUCCCUAUCCAAUAUACCCUCAUUUUCCAGUGCCAGUCCAAAUUUCCCCGACCAUCAUCC